GAUGAACGCUGGCGGCGUGCCUAAUACAUGCAAGUCGAGCGGAAGGACGAGAAGCUUGCUUCUUUGAUGUUAGCGGCGGACGGGUGAGUAACACGUGUAUAACCUACCUAUAAGACUGGGAUAACUUCGGGAAACCGGAGCUAAUACCGGAUGAUAUUUUGAACCGCAGGGGUGAAAAGUGAAAGACGGUCUUGCGGUCACUUAUAGAUGGAUCCGCGCUGCAUUAGCUAGUUGGUAAGGUAAAGGCUUACGAAGGCAACGAUGCAUAGCCGACCUGAGAGGGUGAUCGGCCACACUGGAACUGAGACACGGUCCAGACUCCUACGGGAGGCAGCAGUAGGGAAUCUUCCGCAAUGGGCGAAAGCCUGACGGAGCAACGCCGCGUGAGUGAUGAAGGUCUUCGGAUCGUAAAACUCUGUUAUUAGGGAAGAACAUAUGUGUAAGUAACUGUGCACAUCGUGACGGUACCUAAUCAGAAAGCCACGGCUAACUACGUG
This 497-nucleotide ribosomal RNA is filed under the name uncultured bacterium. RNAcentral describes it as "partial 16S ribosomal RNA". It matches the Rfam family "Bacterial small subunit ribosomal RNA", at positions 28 to 507 of the family's 1533-position model. The record is from RNAcentral.